UUUCUUUUCCUCCUUCCUCCUGUAGUGUUCCCAUCUUCCGUUCUGCUGCUGCGGCUCCCGUGCCCCGCGGUCGAAGAUUUCCAGCAUGAAAGCCGUUGGGAGUCUCCCGAAUCGAAGGGUGAGAACGGACGGAGGGGGCACUGUGCCAGAUGCUCGUGAUCUAGAGGACUUUCUGGCCUUGAAGCAGCUCCUGAGGCCAAAAGAAUUCGGUAUCCAGUGGAAGUGGUGAGCAUUUAGGUAUAGACAGGAAUUAUGUUCUUCCCGACAUUGGAAAGGGAUAACCUGAAAUUCUGAAGAUAAUGAAUAUGCAGGUGAAGUGGAUUAAAAUGAAUAAAGCUGGAUAUAAUAUAACUUCAUGAAGAAAAUCAUCUGUUCAGAAUUUGAUCCAAGAGUUCUGGAGUGUGUAGUCACAGCUGAACUUUGACACUGUUGUGACAUUUUCUCCUGCUUUAUCUACAAAAUGAGAUUUGAUUAGAUGACCCAAGGUCCCUUCCAGCUCUGUUAAUUUAUAUACUAGAAAAAGGUUGUGACUUGAGACCACCUCAUGUUUGGAGUUUCAGCAUUAAAGUUCAGUACAUUGCAGUUUUUGGAACGUUCAUUUCUGCAGAUGCACAACUAAAGGAUUGUUUUGUAAUUCUGUUCAGAUGCCCUCUGCAUUUGAGUCCCAGUCUCUCCAGUCAGCUCAUCAGCUUCUGAUUAGGCUUGUGUAAAACCAGUUUUUCAUUCAAUUUAGUAAAUUUCCAAAGCCUUCUUAAUUUAGGAAGUGAAUUUUCUUAAAUACUGUUUUGGAUUUGAGUCUGGCUAACCAGAGUAUGACUUCUUCAACAUUUGCCAUCUUCAGUCAAACAAAAAGUUAAAAAUAAAAGUAUUUAAAAAGAAA
Antechinus flavipes (yellow-footed antechinus) is the source of this 880-nucleotide long non-coding RNA. RefSeq lists it as uncharacterized. The transcript has 5 exons. The record is from RefSeq and is a predicted model, not a curated record. NCBI's taxonomy places the organism in Eukaryota, Metazoa, Chordata, Mammalia, Dasyuromorphia, Dasyuridae.